This 460-nucleotide ribosomal RNA is filed under the name uncultured bacterium. Its description in RNAcentral is "partial 16S ribosomal RNA". It matches the Rfam family "Bacterial small subunit ribosomal RNA", at positions 338 to 795 of the family's 1533-position model. The record is from RNAcentral.
CCUACGGGAGGCAGCAGUGAGGAAUAUUGGUCAAUGGGCGCGAGCCUGAACCAGCCAAGUCGCGUGAGGGAAGACGGUCCUAUGGAUUGUAAACCUCUUUUGUCGGGGAGCAAAAGACGCCACGCGUGGCGUUCCGAGAGUACCCGAAGAAAAAGCAUCGGCUAACUCCGUGCCAGCAGCCGCGGUAAUACGGAGGGGGCAAGCGUUAUCCGGAUUUAUUGGGUGUAAAGGGCGUGUAGGCGGGAGCGCAAGUCAGAUGUGAAAACUCAGGGCUCAACCCUGAGCCUGCAUUUGAAACUGUGGUGCUUGAGGGCUGGAGAGGAAAUCGGAAUUCCGGGGGGAGCGGUGAAAUGCGUAGAUAUACGGAGGAACACCAGGUGCGAAGGCGGAUUGCUGGACAGUAACUGACGCUGAGGCGCGAAAGCGUGGGGAGCAAACAGGAUUAGAUACCCCAGUAGUC